Molecule: ribosomal RNA, 253 nt
Filed under: uncultured bacterium
Lineage: Bacteria
Description: partial 16S ribosomal RNA
Rfam family: Bacterial small subunit ribosomal RNA
Source: RNAcentral
UACGUAGGGAGCAAGCGUUGUCCGGAAUCAUUGGGCGUAAAGAGCGUGUAGGCGGCCAUGUAGGUCCGUUGUGAAAACUCGAGGCUCAACCUCGAGACGCCGAUGGAAACCAUGUGGCUAGAGGUAGGUAGGGGCAAGCGGAAUUCCUGGUGUAGCGGUGAAAUGCGCAGAUAUCAGGAGGAACACCGGUGGCGAAGGCGGCUUGCUGGGCCUUACCUGACGCUGAGGAGCGAAAGCGUGGGGAGCGAACAGG